GACGAACGCUGGCGGCGUGCUUAACACAUGCAAGUCGAACGGAAAGGCCCUGCUUUUGUGGGGUGCUCGAGUGGCGAACGGGUGAGUAACACGUGAGUAACCUGCCCUUGACUUUGGGAUAACUUCAGGAAACUGGGGGUAAUACCGGAUAGGAGCUCCUGCUGCAUGGUAGUGGUUGGAAAGUUUCGGCGGUUGGGGAUGGACUCGCGGCUUAUCAGCUUGUUGGUGGGGUAGUGGCUUACCAAGGCUUUGACGGGUAGCCGGCCUGAGAGGGGGACCGGCCACAUUGGGACUGAGGUACGGCCCAGACUCCUACGGGAGGCAACAGUGGGGAAUAUUGCGCAAUGGGCGGAAGCCUGAUGCAGCAACGCCGCGUGCGGGAUGACGGCCUUCGGGUUGUAAACCGCUUUCGCCUGUGACGAAGCGUGAGUGACGGUAAUGGGUAAAGAAGCACCGGCUAACUACGUG
RNAcentral lists this ribosomal RNA (468 nucleotides) under uncultured bacterium. RNAcentral describes it as "partial 16S ribosomal RNA". It matches the Rfam family "Bacterial small subunit ribosomal RNA", at positions 28 to 507 of the family's 1533-position model. The record is from RNAcentral.